Molecule: small nuclear RNA, 106 nt
Organism: Ictidomys tridecemlineatus (thirteen-lined ground squirrel)
Lineage: Eukaryota; Metazoa; Chordata; Mammalia; Rodentia; Sciuridae
Source: Ensembl
GUACUCACUUUGAUAGUACAUAUGCUAAAAUUUCAAUGAUAGAGAAAAUUUAGCAUGGUCCCUGUAUGAGGAUAACAUGCAGAUUCAUGAAUCGUUCCAUAUUUUU